Centropristis striata (black sea bass) is the source of this 904-nucleotide long non-coding RNA. RefSeq lists it as uncharacterized. The transcript has 2 exons. NCBI's taxonomy places the organism in Eukaryota, Metazoa, Chordata, Actinopteri, Perciformes, Serranidae. The record is from RefSeq and is a predicted model, not a curated record.
UAUGUUAAGGUGUGUUUGCCGUUACCUGAUGACUCGGGUGUGUCCCUGCAGCGAGGUGUGGACUUCUCCACAGCCGUCCCUCCAAGAGUACAGAACUCACCGAGGCGGCGAACACAUGGGACUCGGCCCGGUGAGGGUUCCACUGCACCGUCCCCACGUCCCACUUACUCUGGCGCCCGAUCUUGCGGGGCGCUUCAGACGGAGCCUCCAGGUUCACCAUAUACAGGAAACGCCGCCUGAACAACGGAAACACCAGACACUUUAGAGAAUACUCAUCUUAUCCAGAGUCGUUCACUGACUUCAUGAGGAAUAAUUCUGUUUAAUGUGUUGAACUGUGGUGCGUUCAGGUACAGUGAACUCACCCGGACAGCACAGCGUAUGAGCCCAGACAGUCCACGGACAUGGCUGUGGCCUGAAACACAGACACACAGACCAUUACUCUGACAGCUGCACAUGUUUAUAUUGUUUUAUAUAAACUAAAGUCUGACCAAAACUGAAUUUAUGAGAUGGAGAUAAUAGACAGAUUUGUUUUAUUUCAAUAGGACACAAAUAUUAACUCAGGAUAUUUUAAACUGUUUCUAAAAGCAGAGUGAUUACGGUUAUUUUCUUAUUAUUUUUCUUUUUUUUUUUGUCAUUUUCUGUCUUUUUCUACUUCAAUAUGUAAAAUAUAUGGGUUUGUUUUUUGUUUUGUUUUUUAGUAAUUUUACAUCUUUUGUGCCUACAUCUCUUCUUGUGCCUUUCUUGGGAAUUUUUGUGUCAUUUUUGGUUAUUGUAUGACUUUUUCCUGUAAUUUUACGUCGUCUUUGGUAUUUUUUUUACUACAUUUUACUACAGUGUUUAUAUAUCUUAUAUAAAUGAUCUUUUUUAUGGUUUCUAUAGACAAAUAAACUUCAUGAGAAACUUC